Molecule: small RNA, 5006 nt
Filed under: Pongo abelii (Sumatran orangutan)
Lineage: Eukaryota; Metazoa; Chordata; Mammalia; Primates; Hominidae
Description: processed transcript
Source: RNAcentral
AGAGCAUUGUUGGAAGGAUUAGAGGAAUCAGAAUGGGGGGGUCAGAAAAGCCAGAUUCUGGGGGCAGGGGAAAGGGUGGGGAGUGGCUGGGGAAACAGGGCCCGUACCCUGGGUUUCUGCAUGGGGGUUACUCCUUUGCUGCUGGGGGUGAUAGCAGGGUGAUGAGAGCCACCCUGGGCCUGUCCUCCUCCUGGUCAUGCUGUUGUCCUGGGUCCCAGGGUGCCUGGGAAAGGGCACACAACUUUACUGAUGGGUGGCCAGUGGGGAGCGCCCCCAUCGGGCAUUCCACCAGUGGGCUCCGAUGGUCCUGGCCUCCCCAUGUUUAUCUGGCCCAGGGACACCAAGGCUCAGAGAGGUAAACUUGCCCGAGGUCACACAGCUAGGAGGGGGAGCUGAGUCAUCACCCAGGUUUGUCUGCCCCAGGGCUGGAGCUCUGUUUCCAGGCCACCUGACCAGCUGAGGAGAUCGUCAGAAAGGCUGGGACACCAAAGGAUGACGCACAAAUGGAGGAAUUUUCAGGCACGGUCAAAGCUAAUGGGAGGGAAAAUAUUGAAGUGUAAUAUUCCAGAGUUCUCUCUUGUCUGCUCUGACUCCUGCCAGCUGCCCUGCACCUAGAGGGACAGGAGGCUCUUCUCCUGGGCAUUGCAUGGCCGGGAGCCAAAUGAGCUGGCCCCAGAACCUGGUGAGUUGCCUGGCUUUUCAGACCUCAGCCUCCUCACCUGUGAAGUGGGUUGAACAGCUCUUCUCUGCAGAGGAGCUGUGGAGGGCGGUGUGGAACACUGCCAGGCACACAGUUGGCCCUUGACAAAACCAUUCCUGUGUCCCCAGCCUGUUUCUCCCCAAGCCCCAUUGAUGGUUCUGUCCAUCCCCGUUUCCUCAGAAGGUCAGGUUUUCUAAGCCCGAAGGCUUGGAGCCAGCCAGGAGCUGUCUCCCUCUCCAGUGCUGCCGACUCAACCCUUUUCCCUUAGAAGCUGCAUGGGGGGAGGCUCCCCUUGGCUCCCUCCGUCUGCAGCCCUGGCUCUGCGCCCUGGGAAUGCUGCCUGGGGCAGGGCCACGUAGAGAGCAGGGCCAGUGCAGGCCUUUGGGUGUUCCCAGCGGCCAAAGUCCUUUAGUCUGCUUUCCUUUGGGCCCCCUUGCACCCCUGAAUGGACGACCUGGGGGAUUCCAAGUCGGUUUGGGAGGGGUGACAGCACAAGGCUGGAGGUUGGGAGAGUCUGGCUGUCAUCCCAGCUUGGACUGCAGUCUGCUACGUGACCUUUGGGCCAAAGAUAAAUCCUCCCUGGGCCACAGUGUCCCUUCUGGUCAGAUGAAAGAAUCAGAUGAGAUCAUUUCUGAGGCUCUUUCCAGGCUUCAUAUUCUUCUGUUUGAUUAUCCCCCCAAAUAAAUUGGAAAUUGGAGGCUGAAGGAUGAGCCCUGGUUGAGGACGCACAGCCCAGGGGCUGUCCCAUCCUCCACACUUUGCCCGGCUGUGAGUGGAGACUGGGAUUUAGCACCCAAAGCCCCAGAUUUAAAUAUAUCCCCAUUCCCCGCCGGGGUCCCCGCACUCCUGCACCUCCCUCCUCCCAGGACAGCCCUGACCUGCAGGCAUUGUUCCCUGCCCAUGCCCAAGCCCCGAGGGAAUUCCAUGGGGUUGGAGAGUCUUCCCUUCCGUAGGGGGCUUUGCUCCUCUCUACCAGUUAUGUGACCUUGGGCAAGUCACUUCAGCUGCCUGACCCCAGCUCCCUAGGACUAGUUGAAGUAAUGGAUAUAAACACCCUUUGGGGACCAAAAGCCCCUAGAGAGAUGAGACCUGGCCCAGGCAGUAAGUCCUCAACAAAUGUAGAAUAGGGGGAUGCUGUAAACAAGCCGGCCAAAACCCACCAAAUCCCUUGGUGGAGGGUAAGGGACAUUUGAGACAGUCAUUACACAGGAGUCUCGGGCCCCAGGAAGCCAGGGCAGAGAGUCUUUGCCAAACUUCCCCCUGCCUAACAAGAAGGAAACAGGCAGGACCUUGCCAGACCCAGAGGCAAACAGGCUGCCCUCCUGUGAACUUGUUGGGGGUUAUUUCCACAGGGGAAUGGUUAUUUCCACAGGGGAAUAGUUGUAGAAGACCAGGGUGAGUCAGUAACAAUGGCAGAAUUCCAGUCAGAGGAAGAAGACUUUGGUGUAGCUGGGGCUGGAGCAUGGAGGAGCGACUUGGCUGCCGCCCUGGCCCUGUGUAGAGGUGUUAGAACCAGAGCGACUCCAUCUUGAGUAGGGGCUGGGUAAAAUAGGGCUGAGACCUGCUGGGCUGCAUUCCCAGGAGGUUAGGCAUUUUUAGUCACAGGAUGAGACGGGAGUCGGCAGGACUGGUAUCAUAAGAUACAGGUCAUAAAUACCCUGCUGAUAAACAGGAUGUGCUAAACAAGCCGGCCAAAACACACCAAAUCCAAGAUGGUCAUGAAAGUGACCUCUGGUCAUCCUCACUGCUCAUUAUACACUAAUUAUAAUGCAUUAGCAUGCUAAAAGACACUCCCACCAGCACCAUGAGAGUUUACAAAUGUCAUGGCAAUGUCCAGAAAUUACCUUAUACGGUCUAAAAGCGGGAGGAACUCUCAAUUCUGGGGAAACCUCCUCCCCUUUCUUGGAAGACUGAUUAAUAAUCCACCCUUUGUUUAGCAUAUAAUCAAGAAAUAACCAUAAAAACAGCCAACCAGCAGCCCUCAGGGGUGGUCUGUCUAUGGAGUAGCCAUUCUUUUGUUUCUUUACUUCUCUAUAGAUUCGCUUUCACUUUACUCUGUGGACUCACCUCAAAUUCUUUCUUGUGCGAGUCCAGGAACCCUCUCUCGGGGUCUGGAUUGGGACCCCUUUCCAGUACCAUUUUUCUGGUGAACCACGAAGGGACGAUACCAGAGAAACCCCCCAACCCAAAGGAAAUAGACUACAGCCCCAGUUGGCUGACUUUGGCUAUAGAAAAAAGAAAGGAAAGAAAAGAGACAGUUUUUUUGGAAAGCUAAGUCUUCCCUUUAUCAGUCAAGAAACCCCCCCUUCUUGAGCUAUUUACAGCUUUUAACAAUUGAGUAAAGUAUGCUCCUGCCUUUGAAUCAAACAAGACCCCACUGGAUCACCAAAGAGUUAAGCAAAGGAAAUCCCUGCCUCCCUUUAUCUCCGCAGAACCCAGAGGCUGAAAGGGAGGGAGCAGGGAGGAGGGGAAGUGGGAAGCGGCUCUGCCCUCUCCCUCCGCCCUCCCUCCGCCCUCUCUCCCUCCAUCCCCUCCUCUCUCCCUCCUCUGCUGGGCCUGGGGGUCUGGGCCAGCAACAAGUUAGUGUUGCAGACAUGGGCCAAGGAGCCAGAGGCCAUGCAGUGGCUCAGGGUCCGUGAGUCGCCUGGGGAGGCCACAGGACACAGGAACUAUGGUGUUCUCACACCAAAGCGUGGGCUCAGCCACCCAUCCCCUCUCCUGAGAACAAGCCUACAGAACCCUCCACGUUUGUCCCCAGUGUUCACUAACCUCUGUCCUCCUGCCCGGAGGGCAUGUGUUUGCUGGUGAUAGUGGAGUCGGUGGCAAGAAAAUGCCAGAGGGAGGUCACCAUGGGGACAGCUGCCCUGGGUCCCCUCUGGGCAGCGCUCCUGCUCUUUCUCCUGAUGUGUGAGAUCCCUACGGUGGAGCUCACCUUUGACAGAGCUGUGGCCAGCGGCUGCCAACGGUGCUGCGACUCUGAGGACCCCCUGGAUCCUGCCCAUGUGUCCUCAGCCUCUUCCUCCGGCCCCCCCUACGCCCUGCCUGAGAUCAGACCCUACAUUAACAUCACCAUCCUGAAGGGACAGGGGCACAGCCAUCACAGAUGAGUGUGGGCACCUCCUUGGAGCAGGCUCAGAUGUCCACCCUGACUUGUCCCCUUUUUACCCCCACAGUGGGCCGCAAGACGGCCCUGCACAGCGGCGAGGACUUCCAGACACUGCUCUUCGAAAGGGUCUUUGUGAACCUUGAUGGGUGCUUUGACAUGGCGACCGGCCAGUUUGCUGCUCCCCUGCGCGGCAUCUACUUCUUUAGCCUCAAUGUGCACAGCUGGAAUUACAAGGAGACGUACGUGCACAUUAUGCACAACCAGAAGGAGGCCGUCAUCCUGUACGCGCAGCCCAGCGAGCGCAGCAUCAUGCAGAGCCAGAGCGUGAUGCUGGACCUGGCCUACGGGGACCGCGUCUGGGUGCGGCUCUUCAAGCGCCAGCGCGAGAAUGCCAUCUACAGCAACGACUUCGACACCUACAUCACCUUCAGCGGCCACCUCAUCAAGGCCGAGGAUGACUGAGGGCCUCCGGGCCACCCUCCCGGCCGGAGAGCUCAGCUGAUACGGCAUCCUGCGAGAAGACCUGCCCUCCUCACUGGGAUCCCCUUCCUGCCUCCUCCCAGGGCUCUGCCAGGGCCUUGCUCAGUCCCUUCCACCAAAGUCAUCUGAACUUCAGUUUCCCCAGGGCCUCCAGCUGCCCUCAGACACUGAUGUCUGUCCCCAGGUGCUCUCUGCCCCUCAUGCCCCUCUCACCGACCCAGUGCCCUGACUCUCCAGGCUUUAUCAAGGUGCUAAGGCCCGGGUGGGCAGCUCCUCGUCUCAGAGCCCUCCUCCGGCCUGGUGCUGCCUUUACAAACACCUGCAGGAGAAGGGCCAGGGAAGCCCCAGGCUUUAGAACCCUCAGCAGGUCUGGGGAGCUAAAGCAAAGGAAGAACCUCGGGCCUUCCGUUUCUUCUUCCAGGGUGGGGUGGCCUAGUGUCCCCCUAGCCUUCCAAACCCAGGUGGCCUGCCCUUCUCCCCAGAGGGAGGCGGCCUCCGCCCAUUGGUGCUCAUGCAGACUCUGGGGCCGAGGUGCCCUGGGGGGUGAUCUCUGGUGCUCACAGCCGAGGGAGCCGUGGCUCCAUGGCCAGAUGACAGAAACAGGGUCUGACCAAGUGCCAGGAAGACCUGUGCUAUAAACCACCCUGCCUGAUCCUGCCCUGGCCUGACCCUGCCACGCCCUGCCGUCCAGCAUGAUUAAAGAAUGCUGUCUCCUCUUGG